This 1360-nucleotide long non-coding RNA is filed under the name Callithrix jacchus (white-tufted-ear marmoset). RNAcentral describes it as "lncRNA (ENSCJAG00000086536.1)". Lineage: Eukaryota; Metazoa; Chordata; Mammalia; Primates; Cebidae. The record is from RNAcentral.
UUACAAGUUGUCUAGUGUUUAUAUACAUUCAAUGCACCUACAAGCUGGAAGCCAAAGUGUUUCCCUUUAUCUAAUCUUUAUCUAGAGUCAGGGGUCUAAACAAUUACUGCAGAGCCUUGGAAAAAGUAGUUAAUUUAGAGGUGUGCAAGAAUCAUCUCAGUUAUUUUAAUUAAACUCUCUAACGCCUGAGAAAGUCCAGGAGGGCUCUUAUGGACUUGGUUUUAUAUUCUACCUUUUUACUGAGGCACCAGUUUCUCCAGUUCUUUAAUGUUUAACUUAAAUAUUUCUUGGGAGGCUGAGGCGGGUGGAUCACCAAGUCAAGAGAUCGAGACCAUCCUGGUCAACAUGGUGAAACCCCGUCCCUACUAAAAAUACAAAAAAUUAGCUGGCAUGGUGGCACGUGCCUGUAAUCCCAGCUACUCAGGAGGCUGAGGCAGGAGAAUUGCCUGAACCCAGGAGGCAGAGGUUGUGGUGAGCCAAGAUCGCACCAUUGCAUGGGUAACAAGAGCGAAACUCCGUCUCAAAAAAAAAAAAUUUUUUUUUUCAUCAGAGUUAUAGUAAAGUGUUGGUGAAAGCUGAUUGCUCUGUUUGCUAAUGGAGACAUGGUCUGCCACAUGUUUUGGUCAAAAACGGAUGUUUUAGUCAAAAAUCGACUGUAUAUACAUGGUGGUCCCUUAAGAUUAAAAUGAGGCUGAAAAAUUCCUAUGGCAUGGUGACAUUGUAGCCAUCAUACCUUAGUAGUGCAAUGCAUUACUUAUGUGUUUGUGGUGACGCUGGUAUAAGCAAACCUCCUGAGCUGCCAGUCAUAUAAAAAUAUCACACAUGUAAUUAUGUAUGGCACAUAAAAUGGGAUAAUGAAAAUAACUCUUGUGUUAUUCGUUUCUGUGUUUUGUCAUUAUUAUAGACUGUACUCCUUCUCCUAUUAAAAUAAUUGUUAAUUGUACAGUAGCCUCAGGCAAGUACUUCAGAAGGUCCUGCAAAAGUUAUUGUUGUUGUUAUAGGAGAUGAUGCACUUACCCCAGUCAUUGUGAAAUACGACUGCAUUUGUGUUGACCUAUCAGUUUAUGGCCCCAGUGGCUUCAGCCCCAGAGUUUCGCACUUGUUACCCAGGCUGGAGUGCAAUGGCGCGAUCUCGGCUCAGGCAACCUCCGCCUCCUGGGUUCAGGUAAUUCUCCUGCCUCAGCCUCCUGAGUAGCUGGGAUUACAGGGACGCGCCACCGUGCCCAGCUAAUUUUUUGUAUAUUUUUUAGUAGAGACGGGGUUUCACCAUGUUGACCAGGAUGGUCUCGAUCUCCUGACCUCGUGUUCCACCCGCCUCGACCUCCCAAAGUGUUGGGAUUACAGGCUUGAGCCACCACGC